CCAAUCAUGACAAUACGUAGAGGAAGGCCACGGGUAAAGAGCCCCCACAAUCCUAGCUUCUUGAUUGCAUCACCCGCAGUUGCUCCCUUGGCAUUAUUGAGGAAAGACACCAAGUUGUCAGCGGGAUGCGAGACAAUAGCACAGAAAACACCAGCAAUGUAUCCACCAGCAAAGCUGAUUCCAAGCUGCAAACUUUUACUGCACUGCUCUUUUGGUGUUGGAAUAGCAUGCUUGUAUAGCAACUCAACUAUGGUCUCAAAGGAUGCAAA
This 269-nucleotide unclassified non-coding RNA is filed under the name Hevea brasiliensis (rubber tree). The record is from RNAcentral. Lineage: Eukaryota; Viridiplantae; Streptophyta; Magnoliopsida; Malpighiales; Euphorbiaceae.